UCAGUUCGGACUGUAGGCUGCAACUCGCCUACACGAAGUUGGAAUUGCUAGUAAUCGUGGAUCAGCAUGCCACGGUGAAUACGUUCCCGGGUCUUGUACACACCGCCCGUCACACCAUGGGAGCUGGUAACACCCGAAGUCAGUAGUCUAACCGCAAGGAGGACGCUGCCGAAGGUGGGAUUAGCGACUGGGGUGAAGUCGUAACAAGGUAGC
RNAcentral lists this ribosomal RNA (213 nucleotides) under uncultured bacterium. RNAcentral describes it as "partial 16S ribosomal RNA". It matches the Rfam family "Bacterial small subunit ribosomal RNA", at positions 1288 to 1500 of the family's 1533-position model. The record is from RNAcentral.